Molecule: ribosomal RNA, 493 nt
Filed under: uncultured bacterium
Lineage: Bacteria
Description: partial 16S ribosomal RNA
Rfam family: Bacterial small subunit ribosomal RNA
Source: RNAcentral
GACGAACGCUGGCGGCGUGCUUAACACAUGCAAGUCGAACGGUGAAGCGCCUUCCUUUUUGGUGGGUGUGGAUGAGUGGCGAACGGGUGAGUAACACGUGAGUAACCUGCCCCCUUCUUCUGGAUAACCGCAUGAAAGUGUGGCUAAUACGGGAUAUUCUGGGUCUGUCGCAUGAUGGGUCUGGGAAAGAUAUUGUUUCGGUGGGGGAUGGGCUCGCGGCCUAUCAGCUUGUUGGUGGGGUGAUGGCCUACCAAGGCGGUGACGGGUAGCCGGCCUGAGAGGGUGGACGGUCACACUGGGACUGAGACACGGCCCAGACUCCUACGGGAGGCAGCAGUGGGGAAUAUUGCACAAUGGGCGCAAGCCUGAUGCAGCGACGCCACGUGAGGGAUGGAGGCCGUCGGGUUGUGAACCUCUUUCGCCAGUGAAGCAGGCCUGCCUCGUUUGUGGGUGGGUUGACGGUAGCUGGAUAAGAAGCGCCGGCUAACUACGU